GAGGUUGUGGCUCAGUGGUAAAGCACUUGCCUAACGUGUGAGGCCCUGGGUUCGAUCUUCAGCACCACA
RNAcentral lists this transfer RNA (69 nucleotides) under Marmota monax (woodchuck). RNAcentral describes it as "tRNA.Val". The record is from RNAcentral. Lineage: Eukaryota; Metazoa; Chordata; Mammalia; Rodentia; Sciuridae.